This 253-nucleotide ribosomal RNA is filed under the name uncultured bacterium. RNAcentral describes it as "partial 16S ribosomal RNA". It matches the Rfam family "Bacterial small subunit ribosomal RNA", at positions 524 to 776 of the family's 1533-position model. The record is from RNAcentral.
UACGUAGGGUGCAAGCGUUGUUCGGAAUCAUUGGGCGUAAAGCGCGUGUAGGUGGUUAGGUAAGUCAGAUGUGAAAUCCCUGGGCUCAACCGAGGAAGUGCAUUUGAAACUGCCUAGCUAGAGGACGGUAGAGGAAGGUGGAAUUCCUAGUGUAGAGGUGAAAUUCGUAGAUAUUAGGAGGAAUACCGGUGGCGAAGGCGGCCUUCUGGGCCGUUCCUGACACUGAGACGCGAAAGCGUGGGUAGCAAACAGG